GAACACAAAAUGGCGACACGUGGUUAGCAUUCGUCGCCAACGAGAAAUUGGGGUCGGCCCGAAAGCUCUAGAAUGCACCCCCCUUCUUCCCCGGGGCCUUCCACCUCCGCGAGUUUUAUGACUUAAAAAACCCCACAGGCUGGUCUGAAGAGGAAGACAAACAUAAAGAUGAAGUGCUUAAUUCAAGGUCACACAAUGUCGGGGAUGGACCUCCAGAUUUCCUUACUGGAAAACAAGCUCAGGGCUCCCACUGAUUGUACAUUAUGGUGAGACGUGGUCUUGUAACACAGUGGUUAAGAAUGUGACUUUGGAGCCAGCCUGCUAGGGGCUGAAUUCUGACUCAGCCAUUUACUAACUGUGUGACCUUAGGGAGGAGGACCUGGUUGAUAGAAGAAUUUAUCUCGUAGUCUUAACAUCCACUGUAAUUCCAAACUUUGAGGACGAUAGAGAUCAGUGGGCUUUGACUGCCCAGCAUGCAGUCUCCAUUCUUAGGUGGGUUCCCAAGCCUGUAAAAUGUAAGCCUUAUGCUGCUGAGGGCC
This 539-nucleotide non-coding RNA is filed under the name Pan troglodytes (chimpanzee). The record is from RNAcentral. Lineage: Eukaryota; Metazoa; Chordata; Mammalia; Primates; Hominidae.